This 495-nucleotide ribosomal RNA is filed under the name uncultured bacterium. Its description in RNAcentral is "partial 16S ribosomal RNA". It matches the Rfam family "Bacterial small subunit ribosomal RNA", at positions 28 to 507 of the family's 1533-position model. The record is from RNAcentral.
GACGAACGCUGGCGGCGUGCCUAAUACAUGCAAGUAGAACGCUGAAGGAGGAGCUUGCUUCUCUGGAUGAGUUGCGAACGGGUGAGUAACGCGUAGGUAACCUGCCUGGUAGCGGGGGAUAACUAUUGGAAACGAUAGCUAAUACCGCAUAAGAGUAGAUGCUGCAUGACAUUUGCUUAAAAGGUGCAAUUGCAUCACUACCAGUUGGACCUGCGUUGUAUUAGCUAGUUGUUGGGGUAACGGCUCACCAAGGCGACGAUACAUAGCCGACCGGAGAGGGGGGUCGGCCACACUGGGACGGAGACACGGCCCAGAGGCCUACGGGAGGCAGCAGUAGGGCAUCUUCGGCAAUGGGCGGAAGUCUGACCGAGCAACGCCGCGGGCGUGAAGAAGGUUUUCGGGUCGUAAAGCUCUGUUGUCAGGGAAGAACGCGUGUGCGCGUGGAAAGUUCAGACUGUGACGGUAUCUGACCAGAAAGGGACGGCUAACUACGUG